This 254-nucleotide ribosomal RNA is filed under the name uncultured bacterium. RNAcentral describes it as "partial 16S ribosomal RNA". It matches the Rfam family "Bacterial small subunit ribosomal RNA", at positions 524 to 776 of the family's 1533-position model. The record is from RNAcentral.
UACGGAGGGUGCGAGCGUUAUCCGGAAUCACUGGGUUUAAAGGGUGCGUAGGCGGUCAGAUAAGUCAGUCGUGAAAUUCCCCGGCUUAACCGGCGGGACUGCGAUUGAUACUGUUUGACUUGAAUCAAGUUGAGGCAGGCGGAAUGUGACAUGUAGCGGUGAAAUGCUUAGAUAUGUCAUAGAACACCGAUUGCGAAGGCAGCUUGCUGGGCUUUGAUUGACGCUGAGGCACGAAAGCGUGGGGAGCAAACAGG